AUUUUAAAUAGUCCAUUGCUUUUUUUAGCAGAGGAAGGGUACUGGGGAUUGAACUGGGUUUACUCAAUCACUGAGCCACAUCUUCAGCCCUAAUUUGUGUUUUAUUUAGAAAUAGGGUCUCACUGAGUUGCUUAGUGCCUUGUUUUUUUUUGCUGAGGCUGGCUUUGAACUUGCAAUCCUCCUGUCUCAGCCUCCAGAGCUGCUGGGAUUACAGGCGUGUGCCACUGCAUUGAGCUAGUCCAUUGCUUUUAAUUCGACAAAAUCUUAUCAAUAACUUCAGUAUUAUUAUUAUCACUUUAUAGCUGAAGCUGUUUUCACAGGUCCCCUGAAAAGUUAUGAAGCUUAUCUUCAUCUCCAGGUCUAUGUGAUGGUGGCUAAGCAUCCCAGCUUUCACUACCUCCGCAACCUGCCCUAAAAGCCAUUAUACUUCUCUUGAGUGAGGUGUCCAAAGUGAAGAGGAAAAGACCUGAGGAUUCCCUUGCCUCCAUCACAGUUUUGCCUAGGGCUUGAUCUACAGUUGUAGCUGCUUCUGGAUUUUCUGAUUUACCAAAUAUUGAAAGGUAAGGUUAAAGAUCAAUUAAUCUUUAAUCUAGCUGGGAAUGAGCAAAUUCAUAAACUUAGUGUUUCACAGCUCUUGGAAGCAGAGUCAUCUUCACCCUGAAGUUCUACUGGGUCUGGGUGAUAGGGGUAUUUGUGAUGAGAUCUGUACUAAUGCAAUAAGGAUUUUAAAAGUCCUGAGGGACACAUCCAGAUUGCUAUUGCUCCAUGAAAGUCUAAACUCUUGGCCUCAUUUCCUGGAGAUGUGUUACCUGCCCUUUCCUGAGAGGUGUUUUUUAAUCCUUGUCUCUCUUAUUUGUCUUAUUUUCUUCCCUGCUAUGUUUUUCUGCUAUAACUCAUCUUAAUGUAAACUAAAAUCUAUUUUAAUUUACAUAAUGAGUUAAGCUGUAUAUUUAUUGUCAUCAAUAUAAAAACAGGUAAGUAGGAAAUUUUAUAUCUUUCUUGUAAACAUAAGAUUUCUUAAAGAAACCAGGUAGCAAGUAACUGAUUUUUAUUUUUCUUCCUGUGUUUUAAUAACUCUUGAUUUUAAAAAAUGAAAGUUCUUUAGUCCUCUUUUAAGAUGUAAUUAGUCCUGAGUUGUUUUCUUCCUUUACUUCAUACCUGAGAAAAUUCAGAAGACCUAGGCAGAGACUAUUAGAAUCAGCUAAUUAAUCAUGAUAUUUGGAAUAAUUCUUAAAUAGAAUAUCUGAAAACAAAACUUCUAGAUGGCAGGAAAAUAUUAAAUAUUCAAACUUGAGGAGUCUAAAACUCCACUUGAUAGUUAAGACAAAAAAAUAGCCAUUAGACAAAUAUUUAGGAACAUGCCCUAUCCAAUUUUAUUACUAUCACUAAUAGUUCUCCUAUGAUUUAGCUUCUGAAUAGAAUUAGCUAAUAUGAGUUUUUCCCCAUUCAGAAUUCAGUACUGAGUUCUUUUAUUUUUGGAAUAAAAAGCCAAGAACAUUCAGACAUAUGUAAAUUUUACAUCUGAAUAUUUUGAAGUGUAUCCUGUUUAAAUUUUUAUUUAUUUUUAUUAUCUUGUUUUGCAAUGUUGGGGAUUGAAACAGUCCUCAUGCAUUGUAUCAUUUAAAAAUUUUUCAUUUUCAUUUAAAAUUUUAUUGUGUUAAAAACACCUAACAUGAGAUCUACUCCUUAACAGAUUUUUGAGUGUACAACUAUAGACAUAACACUGUAGAGCAGAUUUCUGAACUUAUUCAUCUUGCAUACAUUUUAAAUUUUAUAUCUGUUAAUUAACAACUUCCCAUUUCCUCUCCCUGUAAGCCCUGGCACCCGCUAUUCUAUUCUUUGCUUCUAGGAGUUUGACUAUUUUAGAUACCUCAUGUAAUUGAAAUCAUGCAGUUUGACUUUCUGUGGUGGGCUUAUUACAUUUAGCAUAAUGUUCUUGAAGUUCAUCUAUAUUGUCACAUAUGGCAGGAUUUCCUUCCUUUUAAGACUGAGUGAUAUGCCAUUGUAUGUAUACACCAUAUUUUAAAAAUCCAUUCAGUCACCAAUGGACAUUUAGUUUGUUUCUACAUCUUGGUUAUCAUGAACAGAGGCUGUAGUGAACAUGGGAAUGCUAAUAAGUCUUUGAGAUUCUGAUUUCAAUUCUUUUGGAUAAACACCCAGAAGUCAGAUUGUUGGAUCAUAUGGUAGUUCUACUUUUAAUUUUUUGAGGAACCUCCAUUCUAUUUUGUAUAGCAGCUGUACCAUAUUUCAGUCCCAUCGACAGUGUGCAAGGAUUCCAGUUUAUCCACAUUCUUGCAAAGACUUGUCUUUUUAAAAAACUAUACUAGUUAUCUUAACUGGUAUUCACCCAUUUGUUAAUUGAGUUAUUUAAUUGGGUUACUCAAUAACUCCAUUAAUAAAUAGAAACAAUAAAUGGGGCUGGGGUUGUGGCUCAGCAUAGAGCACUUGCCUGGUACGUGUGAGGCACUAGGUUCAUCCUCAGCACCACAUAAAAAUAAAUAAAUAAAAUAAAUAUUCAAACUUGAGGUCCAUCCACAACUAAAAAAUAUUAUUAAAAAGCAAUGAAUGGGUUCUUAGCUCAUCUAUUGAUUGGGUUGUGGUUUUAAUAUUGAAUUUCAGGAGUUCUAUUUUGAAAAUUGACUCCUUAUCAGAUCUAUGAAAAUAUUUUUUCUCAUUCUGUGGGUUGGCUUUUCACUGUAUUGUCUAUUUCUCUCUGCUUUUUAAUUUGAUGUAGUCCCACUUGUCUAGUUACACAUUUUCCCCCUGUGUUUUGGGUAUUAUAUACAAGAUUAUUGACAUCAUUGCCAAUAUCAAUAUCAGGAAGGUUUCCCCUAUGUUUUCUUCUAGGAGUUUUAAAAUGAAGCAUGUAAUCCAUUUUGAGAUGACUAAUGUUUAUGGUGUAAGAUAAGAGUCUAAUUUCACCAUUUUGUAUUGUUGUUUAUUCAGUUUUCUUAACACCAUUUGAUGAAAAGAUUAUCCUUUUCCCAUUAUGUAUUUAUGUAUUCCUGGCACCUUAGUUGAAGAUCAGUUGACCAUAUACAUAUGAAUUUAUUUCUGGGUUCUUUGUUCUGUUCUGUUGGUCUCUUUUUAUGGCAAUAUUUAAUUACUGUAUCCUUGUAACAUAUUUUGAUACUAGGAAUUGUGAUAGCUCUAGUUUAUUUUUCUCCAAGAUUAUCUUGGAUAUUUGAGGUCUUUUGUGUGUGAAUUUUAGAAUUUUUCUUUCUAUUUCUGUAAAAAAUGUCUUUGGAGGAGAAGAUCCAAGAUGGCUAUCUAGAGGGAAGAUGCAUUCCUUGUCGCUCUGUGACUCGGUGUCCAAACAGAAGAAAUACUGUUUCUCUGCAAGGCAGUGUUGCUGUCCAUUGAUCUCUUGCUGUUUACCCACCAUUUGUCUGCUGUGAUCACCCAUUGUGUACCAGUAUAUAGCCUGCCUUUUGAACACAGAUCCCUUGCUGACUGCUGCCUGUCAUCUGCCAUUUGCCUGCCUCUUGCCUGUCCAUCGCCUGCCACCUGAUGUCCACCGGUGGAUCACCUGAUGUUAGUCUGCAGACCACCCACAGACUGCCAGCAGAUUGCCCCCUGCCUACUGUCCCCUACUUUCUGGAAGACCAUUGUCACAGUACCCACAGGUUUGGUUACAAGCAGUCACCACCAUCUUGGAACAUCCACCAAGACCUGUUGGUUUGUUGCUGCACCGCCGCCAUCUUGGGGCACAGCCACCUCAGUCUGGGAACACCAGCCAGAGCUUAGAAAUAUAUUUUUGGGGUACCUGCAGCUCUGAUUGCACCUGAGGUCUUUCUUCUAGGUGUGCUAGUGGCUACUAUCUGGAUGUCUCUUUGCAGGGUCGCUCCUUUGUGUAAGUGCAUCCCUGGUGAUCUCUCUGUAAGCUGAAACAGCAUUGAGAUCUUGGGACUGCAGUAAGGCAGAGCAUGGAGAAUCUGAAGCCCAGGUCUAUCAGAUUGAAGCUGGGCUUGUGUGGGCAAGUCUGGGUCUAGCAAGCCCAUGGAACACCAGAGAUUAGAGGCAAUUCCCCAAAGGGAGCACAGGUUGGAGAAACUGGAAAAAACUGGGCUCUCUCCAGCUCAGUGAGUCCUAAAGUACAUGAGGAUGAAAGGGGUUGGCUACAAGUGGGAAGCCUGGAAAAGGGUAUGAAAACAUCUUGUUAUUGGCUCACCCACCCAACCAGUACAGCACCAACCAGACUGGAGCUUCCGUCAAACUUUAGACAACCCCACCUAUCAGCAGAGAAGAGCAGCUGAGAACAUUUUUUAAAGCCAAUGGAAGUUAUUGUUCAAUUUUCCAUUGAAGUAUUCCUUUUUUUUUUCUCUUUUUCCCUCUCUCUCUACCAUCUUUGAAUCCAAAUAUUUUUCUUGCUUCAAUUAUUGAGAAAAUGGUACAUCUGAAUAGUAUAUUACAGUUUUGUUGUAUAUCCUUAUAUUUUUACUUUUUUUCUUUUUUAAAUCUGUAUAUAUUUUUUCUGUCGCCUAUCUCUCUCAUUGGAUUCUCUUUCUCAAUUAUCUCAUACUAACAGCCAACCUCUAUUAAUUACUCCCUCGGUAUUACUAAACAUUUUUACUUCUAUCUUCUCUCCUCCCUCAUAAACACCACAUCUUACACUACUUCUGUUCCCUCAUUGUCCAUCAUGAGAAAUGGUAGAACCUUUUAGCAUACUUACUAUAUUAUUGUAGACAAUAACUGAAUACAUCAUUUCUGGUUAUUGUAACAAAGCUGUAGAUGCCUUAAUGGGAUCUAUUUGGUUUAAAGGUAUAUAUUGUUUGCAUUUGGUGCUGUUAAUAUGGGUCUCUCCAUUAAAGAUAAGGUACUGGAAGCCUUCAGGGACACUAUAAGACUAUAGGGCAGAAACUGUAUUUCCUCAGAUCCAUACUGCUAGAUGGGAAGACACACAAACAACAC
RNAcentral lists this long non-coding RNA (4911 nucleotides) under Marmota monax (woodchuck). Lineage: Eukaryota; Metazoa; Chordata; Mammalia; Rodentia; Sciuridae. The record is from RNAcentral.